RNAcentral lists this ribosomal RNA (745 nucleotides) under uncultured Parvimonas sp. RNAcentral describes it as "bacterial SSU rRNA". It matches the Rfam family "Bacterial small subunit ribosomal RNA", at positions 28 to 776 of the family's 1533-position model. Lineage: Bacteria; Bacillati; Bacillota; Tissierellia; Tissierellales; Peptoniphilaceae. The record is from RNAcentral.
GACGAACGCGGCGGCGUGCUUAACACAUGCAAGUCGAACGUGAUUUUUGUGGAAAUUCUUUCGGGAAUGGAAAUGAAAUGAAAGUGGCGAACGGGUGAGUAACACGUGAGCAACCUACCUUACACAGGGGGAUAGCCGUUGGAAACGACGAUUAAUACCGCAUGAGACCACAGAAUCGCAUGAUAUAGGGGUCAAAGAUUUAUCGGUGUAAGAAGGGCUCGCGUCUGAUUAGCUAGUUGGAAGGGUAAAGGCCUACCAAGGCGACGAUCAGUAGCCGGUCUGAGAGGAUGAACGGCCACAUUGGAAUUGAGACACGGUCCAAACUCCUACGGGAGGCAGCAGUGGGGAAUAUUGCACAAUGGGGGGAACCUUGAUGCAGCGACGCCGCGUGAGCGAAGAAGGUUUUCGAAUCGUAAAGCUCUGUCCUAUGAGAAGAUAAUGACGGUAUCAUAGGAGGAAGCCCCGGCUAAAUACGUGCCAGCAGCCGCGGUAAUACGUAUGGGGCGAGCGUUGUCCGGAAUUAUUGGGCGUAAAGGGUACGUAGGCGGUUUUUUAAGUCAGGUGUGAAAGCGUGAGGCUUAACCUCAUUAAGCACUUGAAACCGGAAGACUUGAGUGAAGGAGAGGAAAGUGGAAUUCCUAGUGUAGCGGUGAAAUGCGUAGAUAUUAGGAGGAAUACCGGUGGCGAAGGCGACUUUCUGGACUUUUACUGACGCUCAGGUACGAAAGCGUGGGGAGCAAACAGG